This 253-nucleotide ribosomal RNA is filed under the name uncultured bacterium. Its description in RNAcentral is "partial 16S ribosomal RNA". It matches the Rfam family "Bacterial small subunit ribosomal RNA", at positions 524 to 776 of the family's 1533-position model. The record is from RNAcentral.
UACAGAGGUCCCGAGCGUUGUUCGGAUUCACUGGGCGUAAAGGGUGCGUAGGUGGCGAUGAAAGUUCGAUGUGAAAUCUCCGGGCUUAACCCGGAAAAGGCAUUGAAAACUAUGUUGCUUGAGGUUUGGAGGGGGGACUGGAAUUCUCGGUGUAGCAGUGAAAUGCGUAGAUAUCGAGAGGAACACCAGUGGCGAAGGCGGGUCCCUGGACAACACCUGACACUGAGGCACGAAAGCUAGGGGAGCAAACAGG